UGAACAAUGAGAACACUUUGACACAGGAUGGGGAACAUCACACACUGGGGCCUGUCAUGGGGUGGGUGAGAAAGCAUCAGGACAAAUAGCUAAUGCAUGCGGGGCUUA
This is a long non-coding RNA of Nomascus leucogenys (northern white-cheeked gibbon), 108 nucleotides long. RefSeq lists it as uncharacterized. The transcript has 3 exons. NCBI's taxonomy places the organism in Eukaryota, Metazoa, Chordata, Mammalia, Primates, Hylobatidae. The record is from RefSeq and is a predicted model, not a curated record.